Molecule: ribosomal RNA, 489 nt
Filed under: uncultured Cryptanaerobacter sp.
Lineage: Bacteria; Bacillati; Bacillota; Clostridia; Eubacteriales; Desulfotomaculaceae
Description: bacterial SSU rRNA
Rfam family: Bacterial small subunit ribosomal RNA
Source: RNAcentral
AAACUACAAGGAAUUGACGGGGCCCGCACAAGCGGUGGAGCAUGUGGUUUAAUUCGACGCAACGCGAAGAACCUUACCAGGGCUUGACAUCCCCUGACCGCGUAUGAAAGUACGUUUUCACCCUCGGGUGACAGGGAGACAGGUGGUGCAUGGUUGUCGUCAGCUCGUGUCGUGAGAUGUUGGGUUAAGUCCCGCAACGAGCGCAACCCCUACGUUUAGUUGCUAACGUGUAACGAUGAGCACUCUAGGCGGACUGCCGUUGACAAAACGGAGGAAGGUGGGGAUGACGUCAAAUCAUCAUGCCCCUUAUGUUCUGGGCUACACACGUGCUACAAUGGCCGGUACAAAGGGACGCAAAGCCGCGAGGUGGAGCAAAUCCGAUAAAAGCCGGUCUCAGUUCGGAUUGCAGGCUGAAAUUCGCCUGCAUGAAGUCGGAAUCGCUAGUAAUCGCAGGUCAGCAUACUGCGGUCGAAUACGUUCCCGGGCCUU